AAGUCGUAACAAGGUUUCCGUAGGUGAACCUGCGGAAGGAUCAUUAUCGAGUUUUUGAAACGGGUUGUCGCUGGUCCCGCUCUUAACAGAGUCGGGACAUGUGCACACCUGGCUUCAUUCCACUCUUCAACCCCUGUGCACUUGUUGUAGGUUUCAGGUCGGACGCGGGGCUUUUGACUUCAUCGUCGAGAGCCUCAAGGAAAGCCUGAGCCUAUGUUUUACCAUACACACGCUUCAGUUAUAGAAUGUAAACAUCGCGUAUAACGCAUUUUAAAUACAACUUUCAGCAACGGAUCUCUUGGCUCUC
Molecule: unclassified non-coding RNA, 307 nt
Filed under: Phlebia tremellosa
Lineage: Eukaryota; Fungi; Basidiomycota; Agaricomycetes; Polyporales; Meruliaceae
Description: partial internal transcribed spacer region
Rfam family: Eukaryotic small subunit ribosomal RNA (bases 1-46)
Source: RNAcentral